UACGUAGGGGGCUAGCGUUGUCCGGAAUCAUUGGGCGUAAAGCGCGUGUAGGCGGUCCGGUAAGUCCGCUGUGAAAGUCGAGGGCUCAACCCUCGAAUGCCGGUGGAUACUGUCGGGCUUGAGUACGGGAGAGGCGAGUGGAAUUCCUGGUGUAGCGGUGAAAUGCGCAGAUAUCAGGAGGAACACCGAUUGCGAAGGCAGCUCGCUGGAACGUUACUGACGCUGAGACGCGAAAGCGUGGGGAGCAAAUAGG
This 253-nucleotide ribosomal RNA is filed under the name uncultured bacterium. RNAcentral describes it as "partial 16S ribosomal RNA". It matches the Rfam family "Bacterial small subunit ribosomal RNA", at positions 524 to 776 of the family's 1533-position model. The record is from RNAcentral.